GACGAACGCUGGCGGCGUGCCUAAUACAUGCAAGUCGAACGCUGAAGAGAGGAGCUUACUCUUCUUGGAUGAGUUGCGAACGGGUGAGUAACGCGUAGGUAACCUGCCUUGUAGCGGGGGAUAACUAUUGGAAACGAUAGCUAAUACCGCAUAACAAUGGAUGACACAUGUCAUUUAUUUGAAAGGGGCAAUUGCUCCACUACAAGAUGGACCUGCGUUGUAUUAGCUAGUAGGUGAGGUAAUGGCUCACCUAGGCGACGAUACAUAGCCGACCUGAGAGGGUGAUCGGCCACACUGGGACUGAGACACGGCCCAGACUCCUACGGGAGGCAGCAGUAGGGAAUCUUCGGCAAUGGGGGCAACCCUGACCGAGCAACGCCGCGUGAGUGAAGAAGGGUUUCGGAUCGUAAAGCUCUGUUGUAAGUCAAGAACGGGUGUGAGAGUGGAAAGUUCACACUGUGACGGUAGCUUACCAGAAAGGGACGGCUAACUACGUG
Molecule: ribosomal RNA, 497 nt
Filed under: uncultured bacterium
Lineage: Bacteria
Description: partial 16S ribosomal RNA
Rfam family: Bacterial small subunit ribosomal RNA
Source: RNAcentral